UGGUGACAAUAGCGUUUUGGACCCACCUGACCCCAUGCCGAACUCAGUAGUGAAACGAAACAGCGCCGAUGAUAGUG
Molecule: ribosomal RNA, 77 nt
Filed under: Pseudoalteromonas haloplanktis
Lineage: Bacteria; Pseudomonadati; Pseudomonadota; Gammaproteobacteria; Alteromonadales; Pseudoalteromonadaceae
Also listed under: 3 other names
Source: RNAcentral